GCCUGUGUAACUCAGUGGUUAGAGUAUUGGCCCUCACACCAAAGGGUUUCAGGUUCUAUUCCUGGUCAAGGGCA
Non-coding RNA from Myotis lucifugus (little brown bat), 74 nucleotides. The record is from Rfam. Lineage: Eukaryota; Metazoa; Chordata; Mammalia; Chiroptera; Vespertilionidae.